ACUCCUACGGGAGGCAGCAGUGGGGAAUUUUGGACAAUGGGCGAAAGCCUGAUCCAGCAAUGCCGCGUGAGUGAAGAAGGCCUUCGGGUUGUAAAGCUCUUUUGUCAGGGAAGAAACGGUGAAAGCUAAUAUCUUUUGCUAAUGACGGUACCUGAAGAAUAAGCACCGGCUAACUACGUGCCAGCAGCCGCGGUAAUACGUAGGGUGCAAGCGUUAAUCGGAAUUACUGGGCGUAAAGCGUGCGCAGGCGGUUUUGUAAGUCUGAUGUGAAAUCCCCGGGCUCAACCUGGGAAUUGCAUUGGAGACUGCAAGGCUAGAAUCUGGCAGAGGGGGGUAGAAUUCCACGUGUAGCAGUGAAAUGCGUAGAUAUGUGGAGGAACACCGAUGGCGAAGGCAGCCCCCUGGGUCAAGAUUGACGCUCAUGCACGAAAGCGUGGGGAGCAAACAGGAUUAGAAACCCGUGUAGUCCCAUG
RNAcentral lists this ribosomal RNA (473 nucleotides) under uncultured organism. RNAcentral's name for it is "partial 16S ribosomal RNA". It matches the Rfam family "Bacterial small subunit ribosomal RNA", at positions 335 to 799 of the family's 1533-position model. The record is from RNAcentral.